Non-coding RNA from Rattus norvegicus (Norway rat), 681 nucleotides. The record is from RefSeq and is a predicted model, not a curated record. Lineage: Eukaryota; Metazoa; Chordata; Mammalia; Rodentia; Muridae.
AGGCAGUGACCCCAGAGCUAUAGAGUUCUAAGCGUGUCAGGCUAAGUCCGGGUGGCUAAGAAUGCAGCCGCUGUGCUCAGACUGUCUGGGGCUCCACAACCUCGCUCCUCCUUGUCCUAGCCUUGGGGAAGAGCUGAUUUCAUGAGCUUCUUCGCCCCUUUCCUCUGAGGACAGCAAUGGUGCUGACUGCACAGGGUUGUUGUAAGAAUUGAACUGAGGUAGUCUGCUUGAAUAAUCCCUGGCACAGGGAGUGUGCAGUAUAGUACAGGGCCAUCAGAAAGCAGCUGGUCACCAUCAUCGCUAUGUGUAACUGCCUUCCCACGGCCGGAGAACAGUUAAUAACUCAGUCUUCAGCCUAAACUGAAGUAACAGCGUCUUUCAUCUUCCUCCCAAGGGCGCUACACUGCCACUGUGGAACACCAAGCAUCUCCAUGACUGUGAAGGCUGCUGGAGCAGAUCAGGUCAACAGCAGGGCUGCCGAGUUCCUGGCCUUUUGCUGUUUUGCAUUUUGGUCCACCUCUAUUCAUCCAAAUCUUUCGUACUCAGAUACUAACUUAGCUGAAUGCCAGAAGAGAGCCUUCCCAAGGAUGUAGGCUUUCCAAUGAAUUCCAACAUAUUAAUCUUCUAUUAUAAAAGUCAUCCGUCCUUUUAAUAAACACCCAUGGAUUUUUUUUCCCCUAA